GAUGAACGUUGGCGGCGUGCCUAAUACAUGCAAGUCGAACGGAGAAUUUGAUGUAGCAAUACAUUGAAUUUCUUAGUGGCGAACGGGUGAGUAACGCGUUGGUGACCUACCCCAAAGAGCGGGAUAACGGUUUGAAAAGACCGCUAAUACCUCAUGUGAUCAUAUGGAUUAGAAGCCUAAUGAUUAAAGGAGCUUGCUCCGCUUUGGGAGGGGCCAGCGUACCAUCAGCUGGUUGGUAGGGUAAUGGCUUACCAAGGCUAUGACGGUUAGGGGACCUGAGAGGGUGGCCCCCCACAAUGGAACUGAAACACGGUCCAUACACCUACGGGUGGCAGCAGUAGGGAAUAUUGGUAAUGCGCGAAAGCGUGAACCAGCAACGCCGCGUGUGCGAUGAAGGCCUUCGGGUUGUAAAGCACUUUUCGGGAGGAAGAGGAAGGACUGUACUCCCAGAAUAAGCCUCGGCUAACUACGUGCCAGCAGCCGCGGUAAAACCCGUCGUCCUACUACGUAGACGUAGCCAACGGACGA
RNAcentral lists this ribosomal RNA (528 nucleotides) under uncultured bacterium. RNAcentral describes it as "bacterial SSU rRNA". It matches the Rfam family "Bacterial small subunit ribosomal RNA", at positions 33 to 541 of the family's 1533-position model. The record is from RNAcentral.